RNAcentral lists this ribosomal RNA (601 nucleotides) under Panagrellus levitatus. RNAcentral's name for it is "SSU rRNA". It matches the Rfam family "Eukaryotic small subunit ribosomal RNA", at positions 568 to 1176 of the family's 1831-position model. Lineage: Eukaryota; Metazoa; Nematoda; Chromadorea; Rhabditida; Panagrolaimidae. The record is from RNAcentral.
CAGCAGCCGCGGUAAUUCCAGCUCUCAUACUGCAUUGAAUCGUUGUUGCGGUUAAAAAGCUCGUAGUUGGAUUGACACACGGUGUCUGUGGACUGCUCCUAGUGAGUGGUUCUGCAGCACGUGUUUAAUGUCGGUGUGUGGCUGACUUCGGUCAGUUACUGCUGAUGAGUUUACUUUGAAUAAAUCAGAGUGCUCAAAACAGGCGUAAGCUUGUAUGGUUUUGCAUGGAAUAAUGGAAUACGACACUGCGUGUGAUUGUUUUUCAUUGGUUUUGCUCACCAGUGUAAUGAUUAAAAGGGACAAACGGGGGCAUUCGUAUCGUCGGGCGAGAGGUGAAAUUCGUGGACCCCGGCGAGACGCACUACAGCGAAAGCAUUUGCCAAGAAUGUCUUCAUUAAUCAAGAACGAAAGUCAGAGGAUCGAAGGCGAUCAGAUACCGCCCUAGUUCUGACCGUAAACUAUACCAACUAGCGAGUCGCAUGCGGAUUUUUCUUAUUCGCCUCCGUGACGAGCUUCCGGAAACGAAAGUCUUUCGGUUCCGGGGGAAGUAUUUUCGCAAGUGACAAACUUAAAGGAGUUGACGGAAGGUCACCACCAGAAA